RNAcentral lists this ribosomal RNA (200 nucleotides) under uncultured fungus. Its description in RNAcentral is "partial small subunit ribosomal RNA". The stretch from base 82 to 200 matches the Rfam family "Eukaryotic small subunit ribosomal RNA", at positions 747 to 864 of the family's 1831-position model. Lineage: Eukaryota; Fungi. The record is from RNAcentral.
GGGGCAUUCAGGCCAAAGCUCGUCCUUGUGGCGUGGCUGGGUCUGGGCUUCCUACGUUUGGAUAGUGGGCAACCGCUUCCAAUCAUUUACUUUGAAAAAAUUAGAGUGUUCAAAGCAGGCAAUCGAGCCUUGAAUACAUUAGCAUGGGAUAAUGGAACAGGAUUGGGGUCCUGAUUUCGUUGGUUUCUAGGAUCUCAGUA